Molecule: ribosomal RNA, 497 nt
Filed under: uncultured bacterium
Lineage: Bacteria
Description: partial 16S ribosomal RNA
Rfam family: Bacterial small subunit ribosomal RNA
Source: RNAcentral
GACGAACGCUGGCGGCGUGCCUAAUACAUGCAAGUAGAACGCUGAAGGGAGGAGCUUGCUCUUCUUGGAUGAGUUGCGAACGGGUGAGUAACGCGUAGGUAACCUGCCUUGUAGCGGGGGAUAACUAUUAGAAACGAUAGCUAAUACCGCAUAACAAUGGCUGACCCAUGUCAUUUAUUUGAAAGGGGCAAAUGCUCCACUACAAGAAGGACCUGCGUUGUAUUAGCUAGAAGGGGAGGUAACGGCUCACCUAGGCGACGAUACAUAGCCGACCUGAGAGGGUGAUCGGCCACACUGGGACUGAGACACGGCCCAGACUCCUACGGGAGGCAGCAGUAGGGAAUCUUCGGCAAUGGGGGCAACCCUGACCGAGCAACGCCGCGUGAGUGAAGAAGGUUUUCGGAUCGUAAAGCUCUGUUGUAAGUCAAGAACGAGUGUGAGAGUGGAAAGUUCACACUGUGACGGUAGCUUACCAGAAAGGGACGGCUAACUACGUG